UACGGAGGGUGCGAGCGUUGUUCGGAAUCACUGGGCGUAAAGCGCGUGUAGGCGGCCCAUUAAGUCUGAUGUGAAAGCCCGGGGCUCACCCCCGGAAGUGCAUUGGAAACUGAUGGACUCGAGUCCCGGAGAGGAGAGUGGAAUUCCUGGUGUAGCGGUGAAAUGCGUAGAUAUCAGGAGGAACACCGGUGGCGAAGGCGGCUCUCUGGACGGUGACUGACGCUGAGGCACGAAAGCGUGGGGAGCAAACAGG
Molecule: ribosomal RNA, 253 nt
Filed under: uncultured bacterium
Lineage: Bacteria
Description: partial 16S ribosomal RNA
Rfam family: Bacterial small subunit ribosomal RNA
Source: RNAcentral